AAAAAAAACGAAGAAGAAGGAGAAGGAAGAGAAUAAAUUGUCUUUCAAAUUUAUUUAUUCCUUCAUUUUCCCUUUUUUUAUCUUCCCUCUCCCUCUCUCUCUCUCCCUCUUACUUUC
This is a non-coding RNA of Brugia malayi, 117 nucleotides long. Lineage: Eukaryota; Metazoa; Nematoda; Chromadorea; Rhabditida; Onchocercidae. The record is from RefSeq and is a predicted model, not a curated record.